This 125-nucleotide small nucleolar RNA is filed under the name Sorex araneus (European shrew). Lineage: Eukaryota; Metazoa; Chordata; Mammalia; Eulipotyphla; Soricidae. The record is from RNAcentral.
AACCAAAGUGUAGAGCUUCAUUCAGGGCAGCUUUCCCGUUCUGGUAAACGUUGGGACAUUAAGACAAGGUCUAGGAGAGAAGAUUGGGUAGAGGCACGUAUUCAUUUCCCUCCUAGCCUACCAAA